Molecule: long non-coding RNA, 3401 nt
Organism: Vespula vulgaris
Lineage: Eukaryota; Metazoa; Arthropoda; Insecta; Hymenoptera; Vespidae
Exons: 3
Source: RefSeq, a predicted model, not a curated record
UAUUAUAGAGUUUAUUAGUAUAUUCCGUUUUUAUUGUUGAUAUAGUAUUUUCCGCGUUAACCUUGGAAUAGAGUAACCAAAUCUUAUUAAGAUUAAAGGUACCUCUUCCGUAAUCGGGUAGGUAGGUCGUUAUCAAACGAAUUCAUGACUUUUCAUCCAAUUUAAAGCAAUUGGAAAAAAACUCGUGAUUCGUUUCUUUCGCGAUUGCUUGCUUUUUGACAUUUAAUAAGUAGAGUAGAGUCAUAGCUCGUGGGUCUCCAAAAGCAGCAACCUCCAAGCGGUGAGACCCGGGCAAUCGAUAUUACUUGGGAUGUUUUUCAUUUAUUUCUUUAUUCAUUUAUUAACAACGCAAGUACUGUCGAGCUAAUGGCUGCAUCUAAAUUCAGUCCAAAUUUAAAUGUUUCAUCCUAAGUUUCUAUCUUUCGGAUUACUUUUUAAUUGAAUAAUAUAUUGAUGAUCAAUAGAUAAAUCUAAUAUAAUAAAAAUAAAUCUAAUAUAAUAAAAAUAAUCUAAUAUAAUAAAAAUAAUUAAUAUAGUUUUAAAAGAUGUAUUAAUAUAAAUUAAACAAAUAAGAUUUUAGAUAUAUAAGGAUUUUGAAGAAACUCACGAAGGAUAUAGAAGAAAGAACAUCCUGUUGUCAAAAGAAAGGAUAAAAAAAACGUUUAAGGAGUUUCAAGCGAGGAACGACACGAGCUUAGACAAUUAGUCCAUAAUUAACUCGGAGACAGACGUUGGAGCUACGCUUGGAGCAUAAAACGCUAUCAACCCUUCGGAUACAACAACCGGGUUUAUGGGAGUAUGCAUAGAAGCAAAAAUAACCAGACACCAGAUCACCCCUUUCACGAAUGCAGACGCACGUUCUAUUCGAGUCUGUCUGUCUACUGAAAUGAAUUAUUUUAAUCGUCUUUUUAUUAUCCUCAUCAUUGGAUAGCUUAGAAACAUAGCUUGAAAAUUCAUUCGUCGUAUUUUAUCUUUCUCUCGUUCGAUUCUCUUAACAGAUAGAAAGGACAUUUUCAAUCUUGGAGAGACACGUGUUUCAGCACGAGUUUACGAUCAGAACGAUUUAUUAGCUCGUCUAACUGCUUGAUAAUCUUGUAUACGCGCGUGUCUAAGCAUUAAUCUUCAAUCUUUGCUUUCAAAUUUGAAUCAAAUUAUUAUAUCAAUGUUCCCUUCAUUUAAAACAUAUGUAUUUAUAUAUAUGUUCGUCAGAUUUGUGUAUAUAUAUAUAUGUUCGUCAGAUUUUUGUCGUUUUUAUUAAGUUAAUCUGACUAAGUGCAAACACGUUUCAAGAUAGCACUCCCAAUAUUGAAAUAUUUUUAAUUAGGAACGACAUGAGUCAGCUAUUCAUUUCGAAUUGGUUGUAAAAUCGUGAACGCCUGUCUUGCAAGAAAUGAUGAAUUUCAAAAAUGAGUAUGAAAUUAUUUGUCGUCGCAGCGAUCGAAUUUGGAGUAUCGAACGAAGUAAUAUCUUCCUUUUCUUUUUUUCUUUUUUCAAAUAUAGUUUCGUAGCAAUUAAUAAUAAAUAUAAGUUUUUAGGAUAUUCAUCGCAUUUAUUUACUCUUGGAGAGUCACGUUGAUUCUUGGAAGAAAGAAGUAUACGCAAGAUUCUGAUUCAUCGUGAAAUACCAAGGAGCUUACACACGAUUGUCUGCGAACUUAGAUCUCUUCAGGUGCAUUCGAUCUUUGUUCGAACAUUUAUUUUCUUUUAUUUUUCUCUCUUUUUCUUUUCUUUUUCCUCUUAAAGAAUCGAAAGAACAAAGAUCGAAACGUAAGAUACUUUUGUCUCGUGCGCGGCUAAUGAAAGGGAAAAAUUCAUGUGACUGAUGAAGAAAGCAAGAAGAGUCCGUCUGUCAAAACGAAGUCUGUGCCUUGUCAAGGGACGUCUUUAAGGUGAACAUGAAAUUGGAAAGGAUAAUCAUCACCGCAAAAAGUGUCCAUAAAAAUCAUAACAAUUUUUUACAAUCGUAUAAUUACGAACUUCGUGGAAACUUAUCGAGCAUGAAGAUUGAAUCACCAAGUCCAUUCAUACAUAAACUCGUUUGAAUCGUAUAUCCAUUGAAAGCUUAAACGAGCCCCUGCGGUCGUCGUUCCGAGCUCCCGGCUCUCUGAGAAAGGAAAGCGAACGAGUGAGCGAACGAACGAACGAACGAACGAACGAAAGAGAGAAUGAGAGAGCGAGUGGUCUCCUCUCUUUGUCAGAAGAGACCUAUUGUCUCUCCCAGGAUGGAUGGGAACCGCGGCACCUCCGGCAUGGAUGGUGGAUAUAGUCUCGGAGAUUAUUUCUUCGAGUAGGUAGGGUAACCUGUGCUCAGAAACAAGCUGAAAAAGUGUUCAUUUAUUUAUUACCAAUGGAGAUAAAUUUUUUCUUUCUUUUUUUUUUUCUUUCCAUCUAAAUCUUAUUAGGUCAUUUCUUCAAUUCAAGAACAAGCUACAAACGUUCGUCUAUUUGCCAACGAAGAUUCGUUUUUUAUUUUUAUUAUUAGAUCUCUUCUUUUUCUUCUUCUUUUUCCUCUUCUUCUUCUUAUUAUUAUUACUACUUUUUAAAAUUGUAUGGCUAAUUCAUAUUUAUUUCAUCGAGCAUGUGUUCAAAAAAAAGAAAGGAAAAGAAAAGAAAGGAUUUUCUUAGUUUUUUAUUUAGGUGUACCUAACUGUACACCUGUCUUCCGUAUACGUUAAAAGAUUUAAUGAUAAAUCACUUCCCUCGUAAGAUGACGCACAAUUGUGUCUUAUAAUGAUGAUUAAUGUUAUAGACCAGGUAAUGUUAAAGAAGUAUUGAUACAUAUAGAUACAUGUAGAGGUACUAUGUAUCCGUUAAAAGUUAAGUGUGUUUAUUUUGAUCAUUUGACAGAUCUUAAUCUUAACAGAUAUCUCUAAUGUCUGCCUGUAAGUAUAAUUUUUCGUUGUUACGAUAUGUAAAGUAUAUUUUUUAUUAAGAGAACUAAAUGAUUUCAUUUAAACGGUAAGAAGAUAAAAAAGGAUCAAUAAAUCCGAUCGAGAUUCGUUUUAUCUCGAAUGAGAUAUACGAAAUGUGGAUUGUAUGUGUCUUUUUCUCUUUCUCUCUCUCUCUCUCUCUCUUUCUUUUUUUCUCUCUUUCUUUCAAAGAUACCUUCUUUUCAGGGAGAUUCUUGCUUCCGUUUGAAUUCUUGACAAGGUAACGACCAAGAAACGGCAUAUCUACUAUAUAAGUACAUGCGACUCGACGUGUCGUUUGUAAGUACGUAGACACGUGUACGUUGACGAAUACAAACGCACAAACACACACACGUCAAACUUCGGAACGCCAAAGCAAGCAGAACUUCCGUUGCUCGAGGCGUAGUCGAAGUUGUCGACACCGUCAAAAGGUGUAGGAAUUUAAUUCGGUGGUAAUAAAGGAAGUUGAAACGUUGGAAUGCAAAGUCUUAA